GAUGAACGCUGGCGGCGUGCCUAAUACAUGCAAGUCGAGCGAACGGACGAGAAGCUUGCUUCUCUGAUGUUAGCGGCGGACGGGUGAGUAACACGUGGAUAACCUACCUAUAAGACUGGGAUAGCUUCGGGAAACCGUAGCUAAUACCGGAUAAUAUUUUGAACCGCAUGGUUCAAAAGUGAAAGACGGUCUUGCUGUCACUUAUAGAUGGAUCCGCGCUGCAUUAGCUAGUUGGUAAGGUAACGGCUUACCAAGGCAACGAUGCAUAGCCGACCUGAGAGGGUGAUCGGCCACACUGGAACAGAGACACGGUACAGACUCCUACGGGAGGCAGCAGUAGGGAAUCUUGCGCAAUGGGCGAAAGCCUGACGGAGCAACGCCGCGUGAGUGAUGAAGGUCUUCGGAUCGUAAAACUCUGUUAUUAGGGAAGAACAUAUGUGUAAGUAACUGUGCACAUCUUGACGGUACCUAAGCAGAAAGCCACGGCUAACUACGU
RNAcentral lists this ribosomal RNA (496 nucleotides) under uncultured bacterium. Its description in RNAcentral is "partial 16S ribosomal RNA". It matches the Rfam family "Bacterial small subunit ribosomal RNA", at positions 28 to 506 of the family's 1533-position model. The record is from RNAcentral.